GAGUUUGAUCAUGGCUCAGAACGAACGCUGGCGGCAGGCCUAACACAUGCAAGUCGAACGAGCUGAGACCUUCGGGUCUCGAUGCUAGUGGCGCACGGGUGAGUAACGCGUGGGAACGUACCCUUUAGUACGGAAUAACCCUGGGAAACUAGGGCUAAUACCGGAUACGCCCCUUGGGGGGAAAGGUUUACUGCCGAAGGAUCGGCCCGCGUCUGAUUAGCUUGUUGGUGAGGUAACGGCUCACCAAGGCGACGAUCAGUAGCUGGUCUGAGAGGAUGAUCAGCCACACUGGGACUGAGACACGGCCCAGACUCCUACGGGAGGCAGCAGUGGGGAAUAUUGGACAAUGGGCGCAAGCCUGAUCCAGCCAUGCCGCGUGAGUGAUGACGGCCUUAGGGUUGUAAAGCUCUUUUGUCCGGACGAUAAUGACGGUACCGGAAGAAUAAGCCCCGGCUAA
Molecule: ribosomal RNA, 457 nt
Filed under: uncultured Alphaproteobacteria bacterium
Lineage: Bacteria; Pseudomonadati; Pseudomonadota; Alphaproteobacteria
Description: bacterial SSU rRNA
Rfam family: Bacterial small subunit ribosomal RNA
Source: RNAcentral